UCCAAUGUGGUGUAGUGGCUAACAUUGCUGUCUUUCAUAGACCUUGUGUAGUGACUGUUGCACAGCAGCCCGGGGUUCGAUUCCCCGCAUUGGAA
Non-coding RNA from Gymnopus androsaceus JB14, 95 nucleotides. Lineage: Eukaryota; Fungi; Basidiomycota; Agaricomycetes; Agaricales; Omphalotaceae. The record is from the annotation of a GenBank genome assembly.